GGCAGUGUUUUGCCGGAUUUGGAUACCUGGGUUUGGACUUAUUGCCAAGCCUUUAAAUGACUCAGUUCAGUCUAUUCUCAUUCUCCAACAAUAUCAACCUGUGUUUAACUUUCUUCUCUCUCUUCUUUAGACUCAGUGGGAGUAUCUUUCUGAUCUCAAAUCUCCAGUGACUUGGAAUCUAUCCUGACAGAGAACAAGGACAUUAUGGAUGGCAGGGAUCAGUUUCCACCUAAAUGUGUGCCGUGGAUCAAACUGCUGUUGCCCUAUGUGCUCCACUUUCCCUCAGGCUCCCUUGACAGAGAACAAGAACUCCUGGGCACAUAGGCUCCCCUUGUUUCUCAUUGCGUCCUGAAAAGAGAUUGCAUCAUCUCUCAUACUGGCGCAAACAACGGAAAACAAAAACAGCCAAAACAAAUGGUGGUGUCCUAAUGCUAGACUCAGGUUCAGAUCGGAAGAGACACCAAGUACUGGAAACAUUAUUUCCUUCAUCGCGACCAUGCCUGGUAUUAUUCAAAGUAAAGCAAUGCCAAGUUACCUGAAAUUUAGAGAUGCAAAGAUUCGCUUUAUUGCCUGGACAUGAGAGCAGUGGCAUGAUCAUAGCUCACUGCAACUUCAAAAUCCUGUGCUCAAGUGAUUCUCCUGCCUCAGCCU
Molecule: long non-coding RNA, 651 nt
Organism: Lemur catta (Ring-tailed lemur)
Lineage: Eukaryota; Metazoa; Chordata; Mammalia; Primates; Lemuridae
Exons: 3
Source: RefSeq, a predicted model, not a curated record